CCUACGGGGUGCUGCAGUGAGGGAUAUUGGUCAAUGGGGGAAACCCUGAACCAGCAACGCCGCGUGAGGGAAGACGGUUUUCGGAUUGUAAACCUCUGUCCUCUGUGAAGAUAAUGACGGUAGCAGAGGAGGAAGCUCCGGCUAACUACGUGCCAGCAGCCGCGGUAAUACGUAGGGAGCAAGCGUUGUCCGGAUUUACUGGGUGUAAAGGGUGCGUAGGCGGCUUUGCAAGUCAGCGGUCAAAUUGCGGGGCUCAACCCCGUACUGCCGUUGAAACUGCAUCCCUUGAGUGCGCGAGAAGUAUGCGGAAUGCGUGGUGUAGCGGUGAAAUGCAUAGAUAUCACGCAGAACUCCGAUUGCGAAGGCAGCAUACCGGCGCGCAACUGACGCUCAUGCACGAAAGCGUGGGUAUCGAACAGGAUUAGAUACCCCUGUAGUC
Molecule: ribosomal RNA, 439 nt
Filed under: uncultured bacterium
Lineage: Bacteria
Description: partial 16S ribosomal RNA
Rfam family: Bacterial small subunit ribosomal RNA
Source: RNAcentral